GAUGAACGCUGACAGAAUGCUUAACACAUGCAAGUCAACUUGAACUUCGGUUUGGGUGGCGGACGGGUGAGUAACGCGUAAAGAACUUGCCUCACAGUUAGGGACAACAUUUGGAAACGAAUGCUAAUACCUGAUAUUAUGAUUUUAGGGCAUCCUAGAAUUAUGAAAGCUAUAUGCGCUGUGAGAGAGCUUUGCGUCCCAUUAGCUAGUUGGAGAGGUAACGGCUCACCAAGGCGAUGAUGGGUAGCCGGCCUGAGAGGGUGAACGGCCACAAGGGGACUGAGACACGGCCCUUACUCCUACGGGAGGCAGCAGUGGGGAAUAUUGGACAAGGGACCAAGAGUCUGAUCCAGCAAUUCUGUGUGCACGAUGAAGUUUUUCGGAAUGUAAAGUGCUUUCAGUUGGGAAGAAAAAAAUGACGAUACCAACAGAAGAAGUGACGGCUAAAUACGUG
This 454-nucleotide ribosomal RNA is filed under the name uncultured bacterium. RNAcentral describes it as "partial 16S ribosomal RNA". It matches the Rfam family "Bacterial small subunit ribosomal RNA", at positions 28 to 507 of the family's 1533-position model. The record is from RNAcentral.